RNAcentral lists this ribosomal RNA (2927 nucleotides) under Cronobacter sakazakii. RNAcentral describes it as "23S ribosomal RNA". It matches the Rfam family "Bacterial large subunit ribosomal RNA". The record is from RNAcentral. Lineage: Bacteria; Pseudomonadati; Pseudomonadota; Gammaproteobacteria; Enterobacterales; Enterobacteriaceae.
GGGUUGUGAGGUUAAGCGAACAAGCGUACACGGUGGAUGCCCUGGCAGUCAGAGGCGAUGAAGGACGUGCUAAUCUGCGAAAAGCGCCGGUAAGGUGAUAUGAACCGUUAUAACCGGCGAUGUCCGAAUGGGGAAACCCGGUGCACUUCGGUGCAUCAUCGUUAGCUGAAUACAUAGGCUAACGAAGCGAACCGGGGGAACUGAAACAUCUAAGUACCCCGAGGAAAAGAAAUCAACCGAGAUUCCCCCAGUAGCGGCGAGCGAACGGGGAACAGCCCAGAGCCUGAAUCAGCUUGUGUGUCAGUGGAACGGUCUGGAAAGGCCGGCGAUACAGGGUGACAGCCCCGUACACGAAGGCACACAGGCUGUGAGCUCGAUGAGUAGGGCGGGACACGUGAUAUCCUGUCUGAAGAUGGGGGGACCAUCCUCCAAGGCUAAAUACUCCUGACUGACCGAUAGUGAACCAGUACCGUGAGGGAAAGGCGAAAAGAACCCCGGCGAGGGGAGUGAAACAGAACCUGAAACCGUGUACGUACAAGCAGUGGGAGCCUUCGUAAGAGGGUGACUGCGUACCUUUUGUAUAAUGGGUCAGCGACUUAUAUUCUGUAGCAAGGUUAACCGUAUAGGGGAGCCGAAGGGAAACCGAGUCUUAACCGGGCGUUAAGUUGCAGGGUAUAGACCCGAAACCCGGUGAUCUAGCCAUGGGCAGGUUGAAGGUUGGGUAACACUAACUGGAGGACCGAACCGACUAAUGUUGAAAAAUUAGCGGAUGACCUGUGGCUGGGGGUGAAAGGCCAAUCAAACCGGGAGAUAGCUGGUUCUCCCCGAAAGCUAUUUAGGUAGCGCCUCGUGAACUCAUCUCCGGGGGUAGAGCACUGUUUCGGCUAGGGGGCCAUCCCGGCUUACCAACCCGAUGCAAACUGCGAAUACCGGAGAAUGUUAUCACGGGAGACACACGGCGGGUGCUAACGUCCGUCGUGAAGAGGGAAACAACCCAGACCGCCAGCUAAGGUCCCAAAGUCAUGGUUAAGUGGGAAACGAUGUGGGAAGGCCCAGACAGCCAGGAUGUUGGCUUAGAAGCAGCCAUCAUUUAAAGAAAGCGUAAUAGCUCACUGGUCGAGUCGGCCUGCGCGGAAGAUGUAACGGGGCUAAACCAUGCACCGAAGCUGCGGCAGCGACACUAUGUGUUGUUGGGUAGGGGAGCGUUCUGUAAGCCUGUGAAGGUGUGCUGUGAGGCAUGCUGGAGGUAUCAGAAGUGCGAAUGCUGACAUAAGUAACGAUAAAGCGGGUGAAAAGCCCGCUCGCCGGAAGACCAAGGGUUCCUGUCCAACGUUAAUCGGGGCAGGGUGAGUCGACCCCUAAGGCGAGGCCGAAAGGCGUAGUCGAUGGGAAACAGGUUAAUAUUCCUGUACUUGGUGUUACUGCGAAGGGGGGACGGAGAAGGCUAUGUCGGCCGGGCGACGGUUGUCCCGGUUUAAGCGUGUAGGCUGACUUUCCAGGCAAAUCCGGAAGGUUAAGGCUGAGGCGUGAUGACGAGGCACCACGGUGCUGAAGUGACAAAUGCCCUGCUUCCAGGAAAAGCCUCUAAGCAUCAGGUAACAUCAAAUCGUACCCCAAACCGACACAGGUGGUCAGGUAGAGAAUACCAAGGCGCUUGAGAGAACUCGGGUGAAGGAACUAGGCAAAAUGGUGCCGUAACUUCGGGAGAAGGCACGCUGACAUGUAGGUGAAGCCCCUGCGGGUGGAGCUGAAGUCAGUCGAAGAUACCAGCUGGCUGCAACUGUUUAUUAAAAACACAGCACUGUGCAAACACGAAAGUGGACGUAUACGGUGUGACGCCUGCCCGGUGCCGGAAGGUUAAUUGAUGGGGUUAUCGCAAGAGAAGCUCCUGAUCGAAGCCCCGGUAAACGGCGGCCGUAACUAUAACGGUCCUAAGGUAGCGAAAUUCCUUGUCGGGUAAGUUCCGACCUGCACGAAUGGCGUAAUGAUGGCCAGGCUGUCUCCACCCGAGACUCAGUGAAAUUGAACUCGCUGUGAAGAUGCAGUGUACCCGCGGCAAGACGGAAAGACCCCGUGAACCUUUACUACAGCUUGACACUGAACAUUGAGCCUUGAUGUGUAGGAUAGGUGGGAGGCUUUGAAGCGUGGACGCCAGUCUGCGUGGAGCCGACCUUGAAAUACCACCCUUUAAUGUUUGAUGUUCUAACCUGGCGCCGUGAUCCGGCGUGGGGACAGUGUCUGGUGGGUAGUUUGACUGGGGCGGUCUCCUCCCAAAGUGUAACGGAGGAGCACGAAGGUCAGCUAAUCCUGGUCGGACAUCAGGAGGUUAGUGCAAUGGCAUAAGCUGGCUUGACUGCGAGAGUGACGGCUCGAGCAGGUGCGAAAGCAGGUCAUAGUGAUCCGGUGGUUCUGUAUGGAAGGGCCAUCGCUCAACGGAUAAAAGGUACUCCGGGGAUAACAGGCUGAUACCGCCCAAGAGUUCAUAUCGACGGCGGUGUUUGGCACCUCGAUGUCGGCUCAUCACAUCCUGGGGCUGAAGUAGGUCCCAAGGGUAUGGCUGUUCGCCAUUUAAAGUGGUACGCGAGCUGGGUUUAGAACGUCGUGAGACAGUUCGGUCCCUAUCUGCCGUGGGCGCUGGAGAAUUGAGGGGGGCUGCUCCCAGUACGAGAGGACCGGAGUGGACGCAUCACUGGUGUUCGGGUUGUCAUGCCAAUGGCACUGCCCGGUAGCUAAAUGCGGAAGAGAUAAGUGCUGAAAGCAUCUAAGCACGAAACUUGCCCCGAGAUGAGUUCUCCCUGAGACUUUAAGUCUCCUGAAGGAACGUUGAAGACGACGACGUUGAUAGGCCGGGUGUGUAAGCGCAGCGAUGCGUUGAGCUAACCGGUACUAAUGAACCGUGAGGCUUAACCUUACAACGCCAAAGAAGU